UUAUGUUCUACAAUGACAUCA
Caenorhabditis elegans is the source of this 21-nucleotide non-coding RNA. Lineage: Eukaryota; Metazoa; Nematoda; Chromadorea; Rhabditida; Rhabditidae. The record is from Ensembl.